GGAUGGGCUUUACUCUUUAUUCUCCCUCCAAUAAUAGUCUUUGGAUUAUAAUAAUAACUGCAACUAUUUGGGCCGUAUAAGUUAUUGUAUCUAAAUGAAAAAGCCCAAAUUCACAUGAAAUAAAAACACCUAAUGUAAACACUCUCAUUCUUCUACUGCCGUCAGGUCAAAUCCUCUUAAUUCCACCGACUAUAACUUAAAUGAGAUGUAACGUUUCCGUCUUUAUUGAAAUUUCAUCUUUAAGUUUCACCAUUAAUUCUCUAACUCAAGCUCUCCCACGACGAUUGGUUUUAAUUAUCUCUUUUUUCACUUCCAUUGUAAGUCCCUAAUUUCUUCAACUAUAAAUAAGGAUGUAGAGUACUAGGAAUCUCACUGAUUCAUACAAAACCCUCAACAAUGGCUUGGUGGCUGAUUACAAGGGGAACGCUUACGUCACCAACUCAGGAAAAACUUCAUCUGGAAAGUGGAUCAUGACGCUGUAGCCUCAAUCUUCUCCAGAUCGCUGUGAUCUAACUCGCAGCCGCUGCUGGCUGAAGCUGACGCAACUUUCGCGAUUUCGGUUUGAACGGAAUUGUGUACAGCAGCGAAGGAUAUCUCUUGCUGGUCUUGGUGGUGAGAGCAACACAUGGAAGAUGUUUAAGGUCAACGAAGAAACCGGGACGGCGAGUAUUGUGUUAAUGAAUGGAGAUCUGGCUGCGGCAGAUGUGAUGUUGAGGAGACGGGGAGAGAUACGGUUGUGGUGGUGUCCCAGAAGAAGCUUUGGUUUGUUCCGAGCCAAGAUAAUAUGGAUAUAAAAAAUCAGAACCUUCUUCAAAGACUUUGAAGCUUCUGGGUUUCAGGAAAACGUGUCAACCCGGAUUGUAAACCUUAAGAGGAGGAACAAAGCAUUUCUCUGCCGAGAGUAGCCAAUAUUGUGACCGGCAAAUGAGUGACGUCGUUUCAAUGCUUUACUAGAACAGAGUCUGGCCUAAACAGCUUUAGAGGGGUUUGUUGGUGCGUCGAAGAUGGUUUGGUAACUAUUAGCUAACUUGGUGAACAUUGGUUUGCAAAUCUUUCACGUGGAGGAAGUCAACCGAUCUGAUCCUGUUUACAUGGAAGCAACUGGUGACUGGUUUAAGGGUCUGGUUCGAGCUAUGCUUCAACCAGUUAUAAUAUUGUUGAGGUCUGAUUAAAAUUGGGGAUGACUUUUGUGAGUAAAUAAUUGAAAGAUGACAGCGACUUUUACAAUGAAAUGUAAGAUAUGUGCAUUUUUCUUAUAAAGAUAAUUUACUCUUUUUUUAGCCUAAAA
Brassica napus (rape) is the source of this 1288-nucleotide long non-coding RNA. RefSeq lists it as uncharacterized. The transcript is spliced from 4 exons. The record is from RefSeq and is a predicted model, not a curated record. NCBI's taxonomy places the organism in Eukaryota, Viridiplantae, Streptophyta, Magnoliopsida, Brassicales, Brassicaceae.